RNAcentral lists this ribosomal RNA (429 nucleotides) under Bacteroidota bacterium. Its description in RNAcentral is "Bacteroidetes bacterium partial 16S ribosomal RNA". It matches the Rfam family "Bacterial small subunit ribosomal RNA", at positions 355 to 776 of the family's 1533-position model. Lineage: Bacteria; Pseudomonadati; Bacteroidota. The record is from RNAcentral.
UAGGGAAUCUUCGGCAAUGGGGGGAACCCUGACCGAGCAACGCCGCGUGAGUGAAGAAGGUUUUCGGAUCGUAAAGCUCUGUUGUUAAGGAAGAACGAGUGUGAGAAUGGAAAGUUCAUGCUGUGACGGUACUUAACCAGAAAGGGACGGCUAACUACGUGCCAGCAGCCGCGGUAAUACGUAGGUCCCGAGCGUUGUCCGGAUUUAUUGGGCGUAAAGGGUACGUAGGCGGGUAAGCAAGUUAGAAGUGAAAUCCUGUAGCUCAACUACAGUAAGCUUUUAAAACUGCUCAUCUUGAGAUAUGGAAGGGAAAGUGGAAUUCCUAGUGUAGCGGUGAAAUGCGCAGAUAUUAGGAGGAAUACCGGUGGCGAAGGCGACUUUCUGGCCAUAAUCUGACGCUGAGGUACGAAAGCGUGGGUAGCAAACAGG